Molecule: long non-coding RNA, 634 nt
Filed under: Panax ginseng (ginseng)
Lineage: Eukaryota; Viridiplantae; Streptophyta; Magnoliopsida; Apiales; Araliaceae
Description: long non-coding RNA (PGIN_LNC015139)
Source: RNAcentral
AAUUAGUAUACCGGAUCCGCUGCGAUUUGGGACCCGGAUUCGGGGAUGCUACAGAUUCAGUCCGUUGACGACGAGUGGCUUCAAGAGGAGUGAGAGAAAUAGUAAGGGGUGGAGAGAAGAAGAAGAAGAAUAAGAAGAUUUUAGAGAGAGAAAUACUAGAACAAAGGAUAUGGGAGUUGAGAGAAAAAUAAGGAAGAAGAAGAAGAAGAUUUCAUGCGUGCGGAGAGAAGAAGAAGAAGAAUAAGAAGAAGAAAGAAGAAGAAGAAGAAGAAGAAGAAGAAGAUUUUAGAGAGAGAAAUACCCGAACAAAGGAUAUGGGAGUUGGGAGAAAAAGAAGGAAGAAGAAGAAGAAGACGCGUUUAAAAAAAAACCCACCAGAUUUGCCAUAUCAGCCCAUUAAUACUAAUCCCUUAAAUUAAGGAAUCCUAAUUGCACUAUUAUUGUAAAUAAAUAUGGAAAAGUGUAAUAUUUUUGUAAUUAUUUUAUAGGUGUAUGAUUUUUUGUAAUUAUUUCUAAAAAAGUACUAAUAAAUAUAAUUCUUCCAUUUUUCUUUGGUUAUUCCAAAACCUUUCCCAAACUUUGAGUCACUUUCCACUCAGGUUAGAUUGUAUCGAAGGAAUAGAAUAAAGAGUAG